This 341-nucleotide ribosomal RNA is filed under the name uncultured bacterium. RNAcentral's name for it is "bacterial SSU rRNA". It matches the Rfam family "Bacterial small subunit ribosomal RNA", at positions 32 to 353 of the family's 1533-position model. The record is from RNAcentral.
AAUCAACGCUGGCGGCGUGCCUCAGACAUGCAAGUCGAACGCGAAAGUCCCCUUCGGGGGAUGAGUAGAGUGGCGUCCGGGUGAGUAACACGUAGGUAAUCUACCUUUGGGUGGGGAAUAACCCCGAGAAAUCGGGGCUAAUACCGCAUAAUGCAACGGCACCACAUGGUGACAGUUGUUAAAGCGGGGGAUCGCAAGACCUCGCGCCUAAAGAGGAGCCUGCGGCGGAUUAGCUAGUUGGAGGGUAACGGCCUACCAAGGCAACGAUCCGUAGCCGGCCUGAGAGGGCGGUCGGCCACACUGACACUGAAAUACGGGUCAGACUCCUACGGGAGGCAGCA